This 590-nucleotide ribosomal RNA is filed under the name Tranzscheliella williamsii. RNAcentral describes it as "LSU rRNA". It matches the Rfam family "Eukaryotic large subunit ribosomal RNA", at positions 84 to 656 of the family's 3401-position model. The record is from RNAcentral. Lineage: Eukaryota; Fungi; Basidiomycota; Ustilaginomycetes; Ustilaginales; Ustilaginaceae.
UAACGGCGAGUGAAGAGGGAAAAGCCCAAGAUUGAAAGCUGGCGUCUUCGACGUCCGCAUUGUAAUCUCAAGAAGUGUUUUCCGCUUCGGACCAAGCCUAAGUCUCCUGGAAAGGAGCAUCGUAGAGGGUGAAAAUCCCGUACAUGGUUUGGAGCGCCCGAAGCUUUGUGAUACACUUUCUACGAGUCGAGUUGUUUGGGAAUGCAGCUCAAAAUGGGUGGUAAAUGCCAUCUAAGGCUAAAUAUUGGGGAGAGACCGAUAGCGAACAAGUACAGUGAUGGAAAGAUGAAAAGAACUUUGAAAAGAGAGUUAAAAAGUACGUGAAAUUGCCAAAAGGGAAGGGUAGGAGGUCAGAGAUGCGGUCUGGGAUUCAGCCUUGCUUUUGCUUGGUGUAUUUCCCAGUUUGCAGGCCAACGUCGGUUUUGGACACUGGAGAAGGGUAAGAGGAAUGUGGCACUCUUCGGAGUGUGUUAUAGCCUCUUACUGGAUGCAGCGACCGAGACCGAGGAACGCAGCGUACUCGAAAGAGCGGGCCUUCGGGCACCUUUACGCUUAGGGCGUUCCAUAAUGGCCCUCUACCACCCGUCUUG